This is a long non-coding RNA of Brassica oleracea var. oleracea, 171 nucleotides long. RefSeq lists it as uncharacterized. The record is from RefSeq and is a predicted model, not a curated record. NCBI's taxonomy places the organism in Eukaryota, Viridiplantae, Streptophyta, Magnoliopsida, Brassicales, Brassicaceae. The transcript has 3 exons.
AGGAAAGGAUUGCUAACCGUCAUAAGAUUAUGAACUGAAAUAAUUGAAGCAGAAGCAAGCUAAUCGCAUGAGAUUUAUUGCUCCAACAGAUACGAUGGUGAACCAUUGCUAUGAAGCCGGGAAUGGAAAAUUGAGAUCUUGAAAAGUUAUGGCGGACAACCUAAUUGGCAG